RNAcentral lists this ribosomal RNA (877 nucleotides) under uncultured Streptococcus sp. RNAcentral's name for it is "bacterial SSU rRNA". It matches the Rfam family "Bacterial small subunit ribosomal RNA". Lineage: Bacteria; Bacillati; Bacillota; Bacilli; Lactobacillales; Streptococcaceae. The record is from RNAcentral.
GACGAACGCUGGCGGCGUGCCUAAUACAUGCAAGUAGAACGCUGAAGGAGGAGCUUGCUUCUCCGGAUGAGUUGCGAACGGGUGAGUAACGCGUAGGUAACCUGCCUGGUAGCGGGGGAUAACUAUUGGAAACGAUAGCUAAUACCGCAUAACAGUAGAUAUUGCAUGAUAUCUGCUUGAAAGGUGCAAUUGCAUCACUACCAGAUGGACCUGCGUUGUAUUAGCUAGUUGGUGGGGUAACGGCUCACCAAGGCGACGAUACAUAGCCGACCUGAGAGGGUGAUCGGCCACACUGGGACUGAGACACGGCCCAGACUCCUACGGGAGGCAGCAGUAGGGAAUCUUCGGCAAUGGACGGAAGUCUGACCGAGCAACGCCGCGUGAGUGAAGAAGGUUUUCGGAUCGUAAAGCUCUGUUGUAAGAGAAGAACGAGUGUGAGAGUGGAAAGUUCACACUGUGACGGUAUCUUACCAGAAAGGGACGGCUAACUACGUGCCAGCAGCCGCGGUAAUACGUAGGUCCCGAGCGUUGUCCGGAUUUAUUGGGCGUAAAGCGAGCGCAGGCGGUUAGAUAAGUCUGAAGUUAAAGGCUGUGGCUUAACCAUAGUACGCUUUGGAAACUGUUUAACUUGAGUGCAAGAGGGGAGAGUGGAAUUCCAUGUGUAGCGGUGAAAUGCGUAGAUAUAUGGAGGAACACCGGUGGCGAAAGCGGCUCUCUGGCUUGUAACUGACGCUGAGGCUCGAAAGCGUGGGGAGCAACAGGAUUAGAUACCCUGGUAGUCCAAGGGCGAAUUCCACAGUGGAUAUCAGCUUAUCGAUACCGUCGACCUCGAGGGGGGGUACAAGUACCCAGCUUUUGUUCCCUUUAGUGAGGGUUA